Long non-coding RNA from Micropterus salmoides (largemouth bass), 628 nucleotides. RefSeq lists it as uncharacterized. NCBI's taxonomy places the organism in Eukaryota, Metazoa, Chordata, Actinopteri, Centrarchiformes, Centrarchidae. The transcript is spliced from 5 exons. The record is from RefSeq and is a predicted model, not a curated record.
CGCCAGAAUUUCGACGACUCGCAGUUGACUGACACCAGGGCCAAGUUCAUUCUUAGAACGUUUUGCACCGGGCUUUGAGUGAGUCAUCCUCCGAAGGUCAGCAAAUGGCGACCCUGUUUUCAGAGCUUUCGUGCCCACCACAGGUCCUCGAUCCUGGCUUCCACCCCAGCCCUUGUGGUUCAGUAGUUUGCACGGCAGGACCAGAGGGCAGCUGCAUCAAGACUUGCAUCAGGCCAGCCAUGCUAAAAGGUGAUGCUGACGUGCGUGCCCAAUCGGAUCAAGCGAAUGCGCUGAUUUUGACUUGAGGGAAGAGCUACACUUGCGGAUGGACUGAUGCCAUACUGAGAGAGCUGACUGGUGGAGGUGGAUGUCCUCAUUGGUUGUUGUGACUAGCUCCCAGAGUCCACAGCCCAGUCCAUUCCUACCUGUGUAUGACAAACAAGACAGAGAGAAGCAGUGUGUGCUGAUGCAUGUUGACAUUUAUACACACUCCUUUCAAGACAGAGAACCAUGGAUUUACAUCUUUUGACCUUCUAGACUUCAUACUGGGGAUUUCCAGAUGUGCCCCCACAAUAUGGCUUUCAAUCCCAAUGUUAGCAGAGUUAAUGGUCAAAGAGAAGGCUUUAUU